UCCCUCUGGAAAAUCAUCUGGAAUUUUUCCUUCCACUGUAGUAACUAGGACAGCUUCUCCAUUCUCUUCUACUGGUGCAAAAUUACUCUAUCAAAAUUAAUUACAUUAGUGAACAGAAACAAAUAGCUAAUUUUCAAGAACCAACAACAACAUGCGCAGUUUAAUUCCACAAGUGGGGUCUAAAGAGGGUAGUGUCCACGCAGCCUUACCCCUCUACUUUGUGAAGGUAUAAAGACCGUUUCUGAUAGACGCUUGUUUUUUCAAGAACCGAGUCUGAUAAUUAAUUAAUGGACAAACCUGAGAAGGGAGUAAUGGCUGAUCAACAAAUUCAAAUACUAAGUCCACAAAGGCAUCUAAUAAUUUGAAAGAAGUCUCCUUGAUAGCUUUUGGAAUGUCCGCAGCAACAAUUGGAAAAUGCACCAAGUCCCUUGAUAUAGGCUGUUUCAUUAAUUCAAAACCAAGCAAUAAGAUUUUCUUUUGAAGAAUGACAUAUAGUAAAAAAUUUGCACAAGGACUAGAGGGAAGUUUACGUUCAAAGCAGGUGAGAUUGAGACUUUCAAGUCCUCAACUUUACUUGGAAUAGAAGGCCUUUGAUAAGAGCAAUUUACUUGAAAUGUGUAACUACAAAAAGCCAUAUUCCUCCCCCUCUCUAUCACUGCCUCUUAGCUAUACUGUUAAAAAAUAAUUAACUUGCCGUCUAACUUUUUGGCAUAA
This 714-nucleotide long non-coding RNA is filed under the name Nicotiana benthamiana. RNAcentral's name for it is "long non-coding RNA (NBEN_LNC027753)". The record is from RNAcentral. Lineage: Eukaryota; Viridiplantae; Streptophyta; Magnoliopsida; Solanales; Solanaceae.